This is a long non-coding RNA of Anopheles coluzzii, 1278 nucleotides long. RefSeq lists it as uncharacterized. Lineage: Eukaryota; Metazoa; Arthropoda; Insecta; Diptera; Culicidae. The transcript has 2 exons. The record is from RefSeq and is a predicted model, not a curated record.
UCUCCAAAACUAUUUCAAUUUUAAGUCAAAUCUCAUCGCAUCCUUUGCGAUCUGUACGAUGGUGAUGAUGAUGCCGCUGGAUGAACACUGAGAUCACGCUAGCACAAAUUAGUCGACAAGUGUUAAUGGUGGUACCGGUUUUUCCCAUCCGCCUCUCCGAGAGUGCUUCUGGCGAACGCGCAAAAACGCGUGCUGCGGACACGUUGCCAAAACCGUUUCCAUCUCAAACCGUGCGACGACGACGACAACGACAACAACGACGGCUACACUUACAACAGUACAACUGACCGUGUGUUGUUACGUUGCUUACAGGAGACUCGAUAGAUAUUGAACGGUCGGUCGGUCGGUCUCUCUCUCCGCCGCUUGUUGUUAUCGCCUCAACAGCACACACCGAUCCGCGCCGUACGUUGUUGUCUAAUCAAUAUUCUCCCUUUGCCGCCGCCACCGCCGCCACCGCCGCAUCCGCCGUCGCUCCUGUUUACUGAUACGAUCGUUUGAUUACGCUCGCGCCGCACGACAUUGCCGUGCAUACAUACAUACCGUACCUCAUCGACUACAAAAACAAACUUGUCAAGCUGAUAAAAACCAAGCCCUCCACGUGCUCAAUGCCGGCCGCUGUCACCGUGUGGCAUGCUGCCGUGCGUAUCACCUGGUGGGCCCUCCUACUACAGCACGGUAUUGCUUCCUUCGGUGUGUGUGGUGUGUGUGUGUUUGUGUCUUCGAUAAAGCAUAACAAUAUGCUGCAUUAUCGACGGGCGCGGCCAUCUAACCGGAAUAAGAACCGGAACUGCACUGGAAGUAAUUGAAGGUUUAACGUAAAAGCCACACAAACACACAGAUCGAUCCCAAAUUCGAAUCGAGUAAAAUCGUUGUGAUCUAAAAUAGGCAAAAGCAGCAGGGUAGAUGCGACCGAAGGAUGGCGAAUAUCUAAUGGGUCAGAAAGAUCACCCAAAGGGGGGGUUGGUGAGCAACACAACGAGACGAGAAAAAAAAAACAAACUCGUUCUUCCUUUUGCGGAGACACACGAAUAAAUUACACCAACAGAACGCGCGAAACAUCCGGGAUGAUGUGGGAACGGAAUGACAUACAAGCAACCCUUGAGUGCCCCACUCCUUGCGCGUGUGGGUGUGUGUGUUCGCUUGUGAGGAGGUAAAUCACGAAGAUGUAAUGGAAGCUUUGCGGUUACUUCGUAAUUUUUACUUCGAUCUGCGACACAGACACACAUGGUUGCGUUUUGUUUGCGCAUACGCAGCGAAUCGCUCAGAGAGAGAGAGAGA